This 254-nucleotide ribosomal RNA is filed under the name uncultured bacterium. Its description in RNAcentral is "partial 16S ribosomal RNA". It matches the Rfam family "Bacterial small subunit ribosomal RNA", at positions 524 to 776 of the family's 1533-position model. The record is from RNAcentral.
UACGGAGGGUGCAAGCGUUAUCCGGAUUCACUGGGCUUAAAGGGUGCGUAGGCGGGCAUUUAAGUCAGUGGUGAAAUACCUGAGCUUAACUUGGGAACUGCCAUUGAUACUAUUUGUCUUGAAUGUCGUGGAGGUUAGCGGAAUAUGUCAUGUAGCGGUGGAAUGCUUAGAUAUGACAUAGAACACCUAUUGCGAAGGCAGCUAACUACGCGAAUAUUGACGCUGAGGCACGAAAGCGUGGGGGAUCAAACAGG